CCUGACCUCUGCACCCACUCAGGGAGCUCAGGAAAGCACUGCGCCUAUGAAGGAGCAGGGUCCCGGCUCAGGGCCACCUACCUUAUUGUCAAUGGAAAUGUGACAGUGUUUAUCCCAAGUCACCGCUGGAAAUUAAAGAACAAGAAGAGCCUAGCACAGAGCCUCGCAUGGAGCUCUCAACGCAUGGGGAGCCUGACACGGCCAUCACUGUUCCUGUGUCACCCUUGAGCUCUUAUAAACCUUCGCCAGCAAAAGCAAGCACUUAACAUCGUUCAUCAUGGAUGGGAUGUCUUUGACUGCCAAAAAGAAACUCAGAUUAGUGCUUGGGCUACCGGAAAGCAGGACCCCAGCUGCCCUGGGAGAGACAUGGGCACAGCGUGCAGUGUGCUGCCCCAGAGGCUAGAAGCCGUCUGGAAUGCUGCCUCACCGAAGUC
This is a long non-coding RNA of Cavia porcellus (domestic guinea pig), 434 nucleotides long. RefSeq lists it as uncharacterized. The record is from RefSeq and is a predicted model, not a curated record. Lineage: Eukaryota; Metazoa; Chordata; Mammalia; Rodentia; Caviidae. The transcript is spliced from 3 exons.